Molecule: long non-coding RNA, 448 nt
Filed under: Gallus gallus (chicken)
Lineage: Eukaryota; Metazoa; Chordata; Aves; Galliformes; Phasianidae
Description: long non-coding RNA NONGGAT002520
Source: RNAcentral
CUCGGCGGGGCUCGUGUUCAGCACCAGCACCAGGCUGGCGGGUUCGCAGUAAAGGCGGAGGAAGCGCAGCAGCAAGCGAUCGAUGCCGAGCCCGCGGGCGCAGACCACCAGCCCGUCCUGAUGGAACAGGUCCAGGAAGAUCUGGCUCUCGUGCUCCAGCAGCGCCGCCAUCGCCGCCCCGCGACUGUUGCAACGGCGCUUGCGCGCGAGCCGAGCGCCCGCGCCCGAAUCUGCGAGGCGAGCAGCGCUCGACGGCGCCCCCUGCCGGGCUGAGCGGGCGAUCCUCCCGCGUGAAGCGCGGCUGCCUCGCGCGGGGCGGCAGUGUGCGGGCGGUGCUGGUGGCGGUGCCCCGCGUCCGGCCCUGCUCGGCCCAGGCUGGAGGACCUGUGAGCCACCGGUGUGGAAAAUGAGUGAGGUGGGCGUACUGACUGCAGAUGUGAAACGCGGG